ACCUGCAGCAUGUGAAAAUUGCCUUGUUAUGCCUAAUACGGGGGGAGGGGGGAGAAGAGAGAGGAAGGCACAGAAAAAAACGGGUAACUCAGGAACGAUAUCAAAAGAGAUUUAUUUAUUUAUUUAUUUGACUUUGUAGACACCCAGUACGCUGGGGUAUCCGGCUGCUUGAGUCUCUGGGUUGCAACUACAAAGACCGACCGAAGCAGGGACGACCAGGGCCCAUUCGCACUAACGGGGAGGCUGACAGCUGGAUCCGUGGAGCAGUGAUCAACGAGACCACAGAGCGCGGCUGAGUGAGCCGAUUGUUUCCUGCUUUCGCCCUGCCCCCUCCCUUUUCCGAACAUCUGCUGUAGUUGUUGUUUGCUACACCCUUUACUGGUUUGGACUAUUUGAAUGGAUGGACUUUACAGACUGAGCCCUGGAAAGAGACUACCUAUCAUUUGGACUCCUGUUUACAUAUACUGUCUCUUUUGUGUGUUCUGUAUUUUUCCAUUUAAUGUAUUAUGGGAUAAUGCUAAUUGAUUGUUUAAUUUUUUUUUAAAACCUGAUUUUAACUGUUGGGAUAAUAAAUGUUUUAUAAUUGAUGGUAACUGGUGGA
Acipenser ruthenus (sterlet) is the source of this 601-nucleotide long non-coding RNA. RefSeq lists it as uncharacterized. NCBI's taxonomy places the organism in Eukaryota, Metazoa, Chordata, Actinopteri, Acipenseriformes, Acipenseridae. The record is from RefSeq and is a predicted model, not a curated record. The transcript is spliced from 2 exons.